Molecule: long non-coding RNA, 224 nt
Filed under: Prunus persica (peach)
Lineage: Eukaryota; Viridiplantae; Streptophyta; Magnoliopsida; Rosales; Rosaceae
Description: long non-coding RNA (PPER_LNC008223)
Source: RNAcentral
GGAAAGUCGUCGUGACUUCGUCGUGAAAUUGGGUUUAAGGCAGGUCGUGACUGCUGGACUAUUCCAGCCGAAAUUGGCCACAAACACUGGUUAUUUGAGUCGGGUAUUUUGGAAAGAUGAAAGAGGAGGUGAUGGUGAGCAACUUUCAUGAAGGAACAACAACGAAAUAAGGUCGUUAUGACGACGGAAAGUCACCAUGAAAUUGGGAAUAUGGCUGCCCUGUU